RNAcentral lists this long non-coding RNA (234 nucleotides) under Bos taurus (domestic cattle). RNAcentral's name for it is "long non-coding RNA NONBTAT022909". Lineage: Eukaryota; Metazoa; Chordata; Mammalia; Artiodactyla; Bovidae. The record is from RNAcentral.
UGAAUCUUCAUAUCCUGAGGAUAUGAACAGAAGAAAAUUCUAUCAACUGAAACAAAAGACAAAACAUACCUUAGGAGCCUGUGGAUUCAGAGAUGUCUCAAGCAGUGAGGGAGAACUUGACUGAUCUUAAGAGAAUCCAUCAAAUCAAGAUAUCCAUGCUGGGGACGUAGACAGAGAGGUUUCAUCUCCGCCCAGCCCAGGUCCCACCACCCCAUGAGGACUGGAGGGAGCCUC